RNAcentral lists this ribosomal RNA (468 nucleotides) under uncultured bacterium. Its description in RNAcentral is "partial 16S ribosomal RNA". It matches the Rfam family "Bacterial small subunit ribosomal RNA", at positions 28 to 507 of the family's 1533-position model. The record is from RNAcentral.
GACGAACGCUGGCGGCGUGCUUAACACAUGCAAGUCGAACGGAAAGACCCUGCUUUUGUGGGGUGCUCGAUUGGCGAACGGGGGAGUAACACGUGAGUAACAUGCCCUUAACUUUGGGAUAACUUCAGGAAACUGGGGCUAAUACCGGAUAUGAGCUCCUGAUCCAUGGGGGGGAUUGGUAAGAGUCGGCCGUGGGGGAUGGACUCGCUGCUUAUCAGCUUGUUUGUGGGGUAGGUGCGGACCAAGGGUAUGACGGGUAGCCGGCCUGAGAGGGUGGCCGGCGACCUUGGGCCUGCGGUACGGCCCAGAAGGCUACGGGGCGCAGUGGUGGGGAAUAUUGCACAGUGGGCGGACGCCUGAUGCAGCAGCGCUGCGUUCGUGAUGACGGCUUUCGGGUUGUAAACAGCUUUCUAAUGUGACGAAGCCGUCGUGACGGUAAUGGGUAAAGAAGCACCGGCUAACUACGUG